Long non-coding RNA from Corticium candelabrum, 2911 nucleotides. RefSeq lists it as uncharacterized. Lineage: Eukaryota; Metazoa; Porifera; Homoscleromorpha; Homosclerophorida; Plakinidae. The transcript has 3 exons. The record is from RefSeq and is a predicted model, not a curated record.
UGCGCGUAAUUCAAAUCUUCUGUCAUGUCUAUCGACUAAACUCGGUAACAAGAUUCAACAAUCGUAGCCGCAUCUCGUUGUGAAAGAACUCAACAAACGGUUGCGUUUUACAGUGGGCCUCGCUCAAGGAAGCACAUUUUCUUCGUAUUGCACAUUUGUUCGUUUUUACGCUACGGUGUUACAUUAUUUAACUAGUUAUUUUGCAGAAAGGGACAUGACAUGAUUAUCUAGGUAAUCAUUGUGGCGAUUUUUGAAACGUGCUUUGGUUUUUGAGAUAUUGAAGAGAAAGGCCCCUGAAGAGGGGUGCGCAUACGGUCGUAAAUCUCUACAAAACGGUAACGGAAUAUGGUGAAACACAAGAAUAACAUAGCAGAGACGAUUUCUAAAAUAUUCAUCGUGGGGAUUUCUGAUUGAUGCUUUUGACACGAAGAUAUGACAACAUGAAUAUGUGCAACAUUCUGUAUUACGCCAUCCAUCCAUAUUUUUCUCUUAGAGUCAAAAAACAACCAAAAAGCUACACAGAACCUAAAAUCUAAAAACUAUACAAAACAACUAAGGAUCGAAACGCCUGAAAAACAACAAGACUGAGCAUCAUUCGGUCUUCUGUAGUGAGAGUGACAACCCAGUCGUCCAAACACUCGACCCCGUAUACUUUUAUCACGAGUCCCGUAUUUUUGAACCUCGUGAGCCCGUCUUCUUGCAUGUUAUUAGAGUGCGAGCACCGCUGUCACGGGGAUUUGUGCACCCGGUGAUUUGUGUACCCUCGCGCUUUGCUCGCGAUUCCAGACCGUCGACUCGAUGCUCCAGACCUCAUGUCGAGUACACAUAUCACCGGUCAUGAUGCAAAGCUGCUGGUGAUUUCGGACCCCGGUGAUUUGUGUACCCUUGUGCUUUCCUCGCCGUCCCAAAUCGUGACAACGUUUCAAGCAAUUGAUAUUACUGAAUACUCGUCUCUAGGCGUCGUUUUGAGAUUCACUCCAACAUUAGUUGGAGACGAUUGCAGACUCAGCUGCAAGCAUAGAUGGGUCUACAAGCCUGCAGUUCUCAACUUAAUUGCAACUGGGGAUCGCUGUAGGAGCAUUGAUGUGCACUCGUGUAUGCCAACUAGAGACUUAUGGACGACCUGGUCAUGUGUACACACGGGCGGACGGAAAUCUUAACACAGCUGGCAAUUUAAGAUGAUGUACUGCUUGCUGCACAUCACCCAACUGACUGACAGAAGUGAUCUCACUGUUUUCAGCUUCUAAAGGAAACCUAGCUUCUCGCCCAUGCAUUAAAAAGAAAGGAGUGAACUUCAUGGACUCUUGAACACUGGUUCGAAUAGCAAAGAGAACUGGGUCAAGGAGUUCAUCCCAGUCUUCUUCAUGCUCUAUUACCAAUUUUUCGAGGCAUCUAUGUAGUCAUAAUACUUUAAUUGCAAUAGAACUACACUUAUCUUCUUAUAUUGUUUAUCUUACUUUCUAAUUGUUUGAUUUGUUCUUUCAUCUAGUCUGUUAGACUGAGGAUGAUAAGCAGCUGUUAUUCUUUGCCUGACAUUGAAUUGACAAUGGAGUACCUUGACCGCCAGUUGGAUUUACGUGACACUCCUACAUCAAUCAACAGAGUGAUUCUUCACUCAUAUACAUAGCUAUUUCAAGUAACUGCAACUAAUUUUUAUUACGAUGCACUAGCCUGAAAGGCAUGAUCUUGCUCAUUUUUGCUACCAAGUGCCAGUCUGAGUAAACCUGGAGUCUUUGUGUAGUACAACCUUCCAUCUUGAACUGUAAAAUCUUUUGCUCUUCUUCUAAAUGACUUUCGUUUCCUGCUUGGAAUAUCAGUGUAGUUUGUCCCUCCAGAGACUAGGAACUCUUUGUAUGAGUUCACAAUGUUUUCCGACCAUUGUUCUGCUGAAGUUACAGUAUCUACUUCCUACCACAUCAUUAAAGUAAUUGUAACGUUGCAAUUGUUUAGAGCAUUUCUCCAAUACUAAUGCAUGCAGAUGUUGUACAGGGACUAUUUGGUCGCGUGGACUAUUUGGUCGCGUGGACUAUUUGGUCGCGGGCAAUUAUCUCGCUCCUAUUUGGUUCCCGAAAUCGUUUAACUAGGGCUUAUUUGGUUUCGGCCACCUGUAGGGACUAUUUGGUCGCGUGGACUAUUUGGUUUCGCAUUUAUUGAGCCUCGAAUCGGCACUCUCCAACUCUUACAGCUGUACGAGACGGACACGAACGACGUGACGAUGGCCAUGAUAAUUUUCACGCGUCUCCCAGACGUCUCGAUGGGCCGAAAUCGAGUGCGACCUGCUUCUUCUUCGUUUGUAUUUGGCUUCAUAUGAAUACUGAAGUCAUCACGACAUUGUCGAUCGCAAUUUCGCGUGUCUGACGUUUCCUUUUGAGGCAAAUCUCGGCUCGUCUGGUAGCGGGCGUGUUGAAAGUAGGCGGAGUAAGAAUGUCUUGUGCGUUACAAGGUAAACAAACAUGAUCCGAUCGCCGAGUGUAGGGAUGUGCCGCGGUUAGCUAAUUAGUUGUCCGGUCUGUUGUCUGCAUGCUGUACUCGGCUUCCUGCGAUGAUGGAUGUGCAAUCUGCGAAAACAGCCUGUCUGUCUGUCUGUAUGUCAGUCAGUCUGUUUGUCUGUCUGUCUGUCUGUCUGUCUGUCUGUCUGUCUGUCUGUCUGUCUGUCUGUCUGUCUUAGUUAUUAUAUUUCUUAAUAAUUAGCUUUAUCGUAACUAAGGCCCCAGCUAUAAGUAAAUCAUUGCAUUGGCCAUUCGAUGCCAUGCAGCUAUAUCAGUUGUAUUGUGUUGCGAUGUCCUUGAACUGCGGUUAUUAAACUGCAAAUUAGUGCAAAACAAAGAAGUUUAUUGCAAUCGAGUGUACUUGCAUGCUUACAUUACAUGACAGGUAACUAUACAAUCUACUUCUGCAACAGUACAUUACU